This 429-nucleotide ribosomal RNA is filed under the name Bacteroidota bacterium. RNAcentral's name for it is "Bacteroidetes bacterium partial 16S ribosomal RNA". It matches the Rfam family "Bacterial small subunit ribosomal RNA", at positions 355 to 776 of the family's 1533-position model. Lineage: Bacteria; Pseudomonadati; Bacteroidota. The record is from RNAcentral.
UAGGGAAUCUUCGGCAAUGGGGGGAACCCUGACCGAGCAACGCCGCGUGAGUGAAGAAGGUUUUCGGAUCGUAAAGCUCUGUUGUUAAGGAAGAACGAGUGUGAGAAUGGAAAGUUCAUACUGUGACGGUACUUAACCAGAAAGGGACGGCUAACUACGUGCCAGCAGCCGCGGUAAUACGUAGGUCCCGAGCGUUGUCCGGAUUUAUUGGGCGUAAAGCGAGCGCAGGCGGUUAGAUAAGUCUGAAGUUAAAGGCAGUGGCUCAACCAUUGUAGGCUUUGGAAACUGGUUAACUUGAGUGCAGAAGGGGGGAGUGGAAUUCCCUGUGUAGCGGUGAAAUUCGUAGAUAUAUGGAGGAACACCGGUGGCGAAAGCGGCUCUCUGGUCUGUAACUGACGCUGAGGCUCGAAAGCGUGGGGGGCGAACAGG